UGUAGCGGUGAAAUGCGUAGAGAUCUGAAGGAAUACCAGUGGCGAAGGCGGCCCCCUGGACAGAUACUGACACUCAGAUGCGAAAGCGUGGGGAGCAAACAGGAUUAGAUACCCUGGUAGUCCACGCCGUAAACGAUGUCUACUUGGAGGUUGUGGCCUUGAGCCGUGGCUUUCGGAGCUAACGCGUUAAGUAGACCGCCUGGGGAGUACGGUCGCAAGAUUAAAACUCAAAUGAAUUGACGGGGGCCCGCACAAGCGGUGGAGCAUGUGGUUUAAUUCGAUGCAACGCGAAGAACCUUACCUACUCUUGACAUCCAGAGAACUUAGCAGAGAUGCUUUGGUGCCUUCGGGAACUCUGAGACAGGUGCUGCAUGGCUGUCGUCAGCUCGUGUUGUGAAAUGUUGGGUUAAGUCCCGCAACGAGCGCAACCCUUAUCCUUGUUUGCCAGCACUUCGGGUGGGAACUCCAGGGAGACUGCCGGUGAUAAACUGGAGGUAUGUGGGGACGACGUCAAGUCAUCAUGGCCCUUACGAGUAGGGCUACACACGUGCUACAAUGGCGCAUACAGAGGGCGGCCAACUUGCGAAAGUGAGCGAAUCCCAAAAAGUGCGUCGUAGUCCGGAUUGGAGUCUGCAACUCGACUCCAUGAAGUCGGAAUCGCUAGUAAUCGUGGAUCAGAAUGCCACGGUGAAUACGUUCCCGGGCCUUGUA
RNAcentral lists this ribosomal RNA (711 nucleotides) under Vibrio maritimus. RNAcentral describes it as "bacterial SSU rRNA". It matches the Rfam family "Bacterial small subunit ribosomal RNA", at positions 674 to 1385 of the family's 1533-position model. Lineage: Bacteria; Pseudomonadati; Pseudomonadota; Gammaproteobacteria; Vibrionales; Vibrionaceae. The record is from RNAcentral.